GGGUUGUGAGGUUAAGCGACUAAGCGUACACGGUGGAUGCCCUGGCAGUCAGAGGCGAUGAAGGGCGUGCUAAUCUGCGAUAAGCGCCGGUAAGGUGAUAUGAACCGUUAUAACCGGCGAUACCCGAAUGGGGAAACCCAGUGUGACUCGUCACACUAUCAUUAACUGAAUCCAUAGGUUAAUGAGGCGAACCGGGGGAACUGAAACAUCUAAGUACCCCGAGGAAAAGAAAUCAACCGAGAUUCCCCCAGUAGCGGCGAGCGAACGGGGAGGAGCCCAGAGCCUGAAUCAGCAUGUGUGUUAGUGGAAGCGUCUGGAAAGGCGCGCGAUACAGGGUGACAGCCCCGUACACAAAAGCGCAUGUGCUGUGAGCUCGAUGAGUAGGGCGGGACACGUGGUAUCCUGUCUGAAUAUGGGGGGACCAUCCUCCAAGGCUAAAUACUCCUGACUGACCGAUAGUGAACCAGUACCGUGAGGGAAAGGCGAAAAGAACCCCGGCGAGGGGAGUGAAAAAGAACCUGAAACCGUGUACGUACAAGCAGUGGGAGNNNNNNNNNNNNNNNNUGACUGCGUACCUUUUGUAUAAUGGGUCAGCGACUUAUAUUCUGUAGCAAGGUUAACCGAAUAGGGGAGCCGGAGGGAAACCGAGUCUUAAUUGGGCGUUAAGUUGCAGGGUAUAGACCCGAAACCCGGUGAUCUAGCCAUGGGCAGGUUGAAGGUUGGGUAACACUAACUGGAGGACCGAACCGACUAAUGUUGAAAAAUUAGCGGAUGACCUGUGGCUGGGGGUGAAAGGCCAAUCAAACCGGGAGAUAGCUGGUUCUCCCCGAAAGCUAUUUAGGUAGCGCCUCGUGAAUUCAUCUCCGGGGGUAGAGCACUGUUUCGGCUAGGGGGCCAUCCCGGCUUACCAACCCGAUGCAAACUGCGAAUACCGGAGAAUGUUAUCACGGGAGACACACGGCGGGUGCUAACGUCCGUCGUGAAGAGGGAAACAACCCAGACCGCCAGCUAAGGUCCCAAAGUCAUGGUUAAGUGGGAAACGAUGUGGGAAGGCCCAGACAGCCAGGAUGUUGGCUUAGAAGCAGCCAUCAUUUAAAGAAAGCGUAAUAGCUCACUGGUCGAGUCGGCCUGCGCGGAAGAUGUAACGGGGCUAAACCAUGCACCGAAGCUGCGGCAGCGACACUGUGUGUUGUUGGGUAGGGGAGCGUUCUGUAAGCCUGCGAAGGUGGCCUGUGAGGGUUGCUGGAGGUAUCAGAAGUGCGAAUGCUGACAUAAGUAACGAUAAAGCGGGUGAAAAGCCCGCUCGCCGGAAGACCAAGGGUUCCUGUCCAACGUUAAUCGGGGCAGGGUGAGUCGACCCCUAAGGCGAGGCCGAAAGGCGUAGUCGAUGGGAAACGGGUUAAUAUUCCCGUACUUGGUGUUACUGCGAAGGGGGGACGGAGAAGGCUAUGUUGGCCGGGCGACGGUUGUCCCGGUUUAAGCGUGUAGGUGUGUGUUCCAGGUAAAUCCGGUUCACUUUAACACUGAGGCGUGACGACGAGGCACUACGGUGCUGAAGCAACAAAUGCCCUGCUUCCAGGAAAAGCCUCUAAGCAUCAGGUAACAUCAAAUCGUACCCCAAACCGACACAGGUGGUCAGGUAGAGAAUACCAAGGCGCUUGAGAGAACUCGGGUGAAGGAACUAGGCAAAAUGGUGCCGUAACUUCGGGAGAAGGCACGCUGACACGUAGGUGAAGUGAUUUACUCAUGGAGCUGAAGUCAGUCGAAGAUACCAGCUGGCUGCAACUGUUUAUUAAAAACACAGCACUGUGCAAACACGAAAGUGGACGUAUACGGUGUGACGCCUGCCCGGUGCCGGAAGGUUAAUUGAUGGGGUCAGCGCAAGCGAAGCUCCUGAUCGAAGCCCCGGUAAACGGCGGCCGUAACUAUAACGGUCCUAAGGUAGCGAAAUUCCUUGUCGGGUAAGUUCCGACCUGCACGAAUGGCGUAAUGAUGGCCAGGCUGUCUCCACCCGAGACUCAGUGAAAUUGAACUCGCUGUGAAGAUGCAGUGUACCCGCGGCAAGACGGAAAGACCCCGUGAACCUUUACUAUAGCUUGACACUGAACAUUGAGCCUUGAUGUGUAGGAUAGGUGGGAGGCUUUGAAGUGUGGACGCCAGUCUGCAUGGAGCCGACCUUGAAAUACCACCCUUUAAUGUUUGAUGUUCUAACGUGGACCCGUUACCCGGGUUGCGGACAGUGUCUGGUGGGUAGUUUGACUGGGGCGGUCUCCUCCUAAAGAGUAACGGAGGAGCACGAAGGUUGGCUAAUCCUGGUCGGACAUCAGGAGGUUAGUGCAAUGGCAUAAGCCAGCUUGACUGCGAGCGUGACGGCGCGAGCAGGUGCGAAAGCAGGUCAUAGUGAUCCGGUGGUUCUGAAUGGAAGGGCCAUCGCUCAACGGAUAAAAGGUACUCCGGGGAUAACAGGCUGAUACCGCCCAAGAGUUCAUAUCGACGGCGGUGUUUGGCACCUCGAUGUCGGCUCAUCACAUCCUGGGGCUGAAGUAGGUCCCAAGGGUAUGGCUGUUCGCCAUUUAAAGUGGUACGCGAGCUGGGUUUAGAACGUCGUGAGACAGUUCGGUCCCUAUCUGCCGUGGGCGCUGGAGAACUGAGGGGGGCUGCUCCUAGUACGAGAGGACCGGAGUGGACGCAUCACUGGUGUUCGGGUUGUCAUGCCAAUGGCACUGCCCGGUAGCUAAAUGCGGAAGAGAUAAGUGCUGAAAGCAUCUAAGCACGAAACUUGCCCCGAGAUGAGUUCUCCCUGAGACUUAAAGUCUCCUGAAGGAACGUUGAAGACGACGACGUUGAUAGGCCGGGUGUGUAAGCGCAGCGAUGCGUUGAGCUAACCGGUACUAAUGAACCGUGAGGCUUAACCUUACAACGCCGAAG
Molecule: ribosomal RNA, 2928 nt
Filed under: Salmonella enterica subsp. enterica serovar Enteritidis str. SA20095309
Lineage: Bacteria; Pseudomonadati; Pseudomonadota; Gammaproteobacteria; Enterobacterales; Enterobacteriaceae
Also listed under: 1 other name
Description: bacterial LSU rRNA
Rfam family: Bacterial large subunit ribosomal RNA
Source: RNAcentral